CUCAUUUGCCGAGACAGCCGGAUGUUCCUCCUUCCGGCUGUCUCGACAAAUAAGAU
RNAcentral lists this non-coding RNA (56 nucleotides) under Pongo pygmaeus (Bornean orangutan). The record is from RNAcentral. Lineage: Eukaryota; Metazoa; Chordata; Mammalia; Primates; Hominidae.